RNAcentral lists this small RNA (30 nucleotides) under Bombyx mori (domestic silkworm). Its description in RNAcentral is "piRNA piR-bmo-1516601". Lineage: Eukaryota; Metazoa; Arthropoda; Insecta; Lepidoptera; Bombycidae. The record is from RNAcentral.
UCAGGGAUUGCGAUGGCCUUUGGUCGCCUA